Long non-coding RNA from Motacilla alba alba, 590 nucleotides. RefSeq lists it as uncharacterized. The transcript is spliced from 3 exons. Lineage: Eukaryota; Metazoa; Chordata; Aves; Passeriformes; Motacillidae. The record is from RefSeq and is a predicted model, not a curated record.
AUCGGAAAGAAUUCAAGGAGGAAAUUUGUCAAAACUUCAAAAUAUUUAACCAAGAUUAUAAUUACUGAUGGAAUCGAGGAUUGAUCAUUUGUUUUUAAGGUGUUGAAUACUAAACUACCUGCACCAAACAGCAGCAGGAGCGCUGAAAAAAAUUGCUGGAUGUAAAAGAGAACAUUAGGCUGGCAUUUUGUGGAAAAUCUGGCUUCUAACCUGCAGAAGGCAAGGAGGACCUAGGACAGGUAAAAAAGUGCUAUUGGAAAGAAGACAAAAGACCCUUCUCUGUAAUCGUGGGAGGCAGAACAAAAGUAAGUGGUGACAAAGGAGAUUCAGGCAUUCAGAAGAAAGAACAAAAUGCUUUCCAGUGGUAAAAACAAUGAAAAAAACCAGAAUAGCUUACCUAGGGAAAAGGUUGAGUCUCCACCCUUUGAGAUAUUUAAGAGCAAAACAUCAUCAGGUGUCUCAAGGGUGACCUAAAUUUUGUUGAUGUUGACAAACCGAAGGGAAGGUCUGGAGAGAAUUCCGCAACCUCUUGGAACAUUAUGCAUUUGAGCAAUGUGUUGGACAUAGCUCUGUGAUUACGGAUAUUUAAA